UACGUAGGUGACCAGCGUUGUCCGGAUUUACUGGGCGUAAAGAGCGCGCAGGCGGUCGUUCAAGUCGAGUGUGAAAGCCCCCGGCUCAACUGGGGAGGGUCAUUCGAUACUGAUCGACUUGAAGGCAGGAGAGGGAAGUGGAAUUCCCGGUGUAGUGGUGAAAUGCGUAGAUAUCGGGAGGAACACCAGUGGCGAAGGCGACUUACUGGACACAUAUUGACGCUGAGGUGCGAAAGCGUGGGGAGCAAACAGG
This 253-nucleotide ribosomal RNA is filed under the name uncultured bacterium. Its description in RNAcentral is "partial 16S ribosomal RNA". It matches the Rfam family "Bacterial small subunit ribosomal RNA", at positions 524 to 776 of the family's 1533-position model. The record is from RNAcentral.